ACUCCUACGGGAGGCAGCAGUGGGGAAUAUUGCACAAUGGGCGCAAGCCUGAUGCAGCCAUGCCGCGUGUAUGAAGAAGGCCUUCGGGUUGUAAAGUACUUUCAGCGGGGAGGAAGGUGUUGAGGUUAAUAACCUCAGCAAUUGACGUUACCCGCAGAAGAAGCACCGGCUAACUCCGUGCCAGCAGCCGCGGUAAUACGGAGGGUGCAAGCGUUAAUCGGAAUUACUGGGCGUAAAGCGCACGCAGGCGGUCUGUCAAGUCGGAUGUGAAAUCCCCGGGCUCAACCUGGGAACUGCAUUCGAAACUGGCAGGCUAGAGUCUUGUAGAGGGGGGUAGAAUUCCAGGUGUAGCGGUGAAAUGCGUAGAGAUCUGGAGGAAUACCGGUGGCGAAGGCGGCCCCCUGGACAAAGACUGACGCUCAGGUGCGAAAGCGUGGGGAGCAAACAGGAUUAGAAACCCUAGUAGUCCCA
This 471-nucleotide ribosomal RNA is filed under the name uncultured organism. RNAcentral describes it as "partial 16S ribosomal RNA". It matches the Rfam family "Bacterial small subunit ribosomal RNA", at positions 335 to 797 of the family's 1533-position model. The record is from RNAcentral.